This 17472-nucleotide long non-coding RNA is filed under the name Gallus gallus (chicken). Lineage: Eukaryota; Metazoa; Chordata; Aves; Galliformes; Phasianidae. The record is from RNAcentral.
UUUCUGUGUUGUUCAGCUCCACCAUCAGCCAUGCAGCUGUCCCUGGGUGUAAAGAGGCCUUUCUGACCUGAUCCUACCAUGCCAUGGACCCUUUGAUUGUUCACCUGGAGCAGUAACAGCUAGCCAUUAAACAGCAUUUAAUGGCCAUGGCCAGAGACUCCAUGUAUGGGACUGUGCUGGCAUCGCUUUAGGAAGGGGAGGGGAUUGGCUACUGGGGUUGACUAGCUCAAAGCAACACAGAUAUAACGAAAAAACCUGUGUUAUAUCACAUGUUCAUCUACUGCCUGCAUUCCACCUCCUGCCGCAGGCGCUGCCGCUUCCCUGCAUGCCCCGGGAACUGCGGACUGUUCAGGUGCUGUGGGGCUACAAGGACAAUCUGAUCUGCUUCAGCUUCUUCUAUGCUCUUUGCUGGGUCACUUCUUAGGAAGAAGGUGGGUCAUCCCAUAUGAUUUCUUUCCCCUCCCUGCCUUGGCCACCAUGUCCACCCUGGGAAGGUGAUUGCCAUGGCCCAGAAUGACGUUUCUCCCUCUUAGCAAAGUGAGCUUGCAGCGCUGAGCCCCUCUCCCCAGACUGAGUGCUGUCAAAAUUGCUGCAUUCCAAAGGAGCCUCAUUCUACAGGUAUUUCCUUUCUGCUCUGCUAUGUGUCUGUGUAUCAGUUAGGAGGCUGAGAACAGCUGAGCAUCAGCGAUCUCCUUGUGCUGUGUUCCAUCCUGCGGCUCGUCGCUCCAUCACUGAGGUACAUUAUCCUACUCUCUAAACCAAGCAUGUGCCCAGGAGAUAAACCAAUUGUUUUUUUGUGCUGCUUUCUAUUUAGAUCCAUAGGCUUCAUUUCAGCUCUUUGGCAAUGCUUCUUCUAACCUUGCUGCAAGAAGUCCUUGUGGCCAAUGCAUCCUCCCUAACGAGGCUGACGGGCUGCUGGCGAAAGGUGCCAGAGGAUGGAAGCUGGCAUGCUGAGGGCUUCUGUCCUGCGGUGCAGGCUGCUGGGAUCUGCCUUCCAUUGUGCUACUGAAACAUCAUCAAAGCCAGGAAAUGGGAGUGCCAUUCCAGUGAAAACCUUUGCAGUGCUGCAGCAGAGAGCCUUAAAUUCAAAGCAGUACUUUAAAAAUCAGAACUAGAAGGCGCUGCAUUAGGCCAGUGAAUGAUUCCAGCUUACACUGCCCACACAUUUGGGAAGGCUGCUUCAUCACUUCACUGCUACAUUUGUCACCUGACACCUGAGGACAGGUCACUGGAUCACAGUUCCUUACUGCCCUGCAGCUGGGGAAGGAGUUUGCAGCCCUUCUGCUGAGAAGACAGGGCUGGGUCUGCAGCCAUUAAAAGGAGCAGAAGAAGAUUUCCUCGAAUUCCUGCAUUGCUGUGAGCUGACACAAGGGCACGGCGCUCCACGCAGCAACCACCAGAUGUGCAGUGCAGGUUAUCUCUUCGCUUGUCUAAUCAAGUCUGGAAAAAAUAAUUGUCAUUAAUUCACUGACCUGAACCUGGGCCGAGCUGUUCUGUGCACUGGCUGAAUGUGACAACUAAUCCAACAGAAAUAUGCAUUAUAUUCCCCUACAUUGCCACCUUGAAACGUCCCGGCACUGCCUCCCUGCAGUACUGGUGCUGCCACAGGGACAGGGACACGAGCUGAAGUCUCCAUGAAGUCCUGUAUGGAACAAAGGCCAGAAGGAAGUCAUGAUUUCAGUGUGUCUACUGUACUGGAAGGAAAAACAGAACAAACAGAUCCUCCUUGAAACUCUUCCCACAACCAAACUUUUAAUGUUUUUAUGAGAGAUCUGCACAUGUAUUCACAUUUAUCAGCAUAUGCAAAUCUCCCACUGAAGGGAAGCAGGCUGUGUCAGAGCAGUGGAGGUAGAAGCUGACAGUAGAUCUCUACAGCUGUCAAAACAACGGCCUGGUAGAAUGCAGCCAUCAAAACACGAGUCUUGUGUGCACAUCUCAGACUUGGCUGUUCAAUCUCUUGCACCAGAAGCUCCUAUGGCAAAUGUUUUUGAAACACGGAUGAUCCGAGUGCAUCAGAAAGAAAGCAAUAGCUGUGACAUCUUGGUCUCCAUCCUCAAAAGGCACUGGGAAUUCCAAACAAUCUAGUAAUUGGAAUUCAUAGCUAGUUUCUGUAUGAAAAGUCAGCUGUAGAAAAUAGUGUGUUUGAAAGUAUCCCCUACUCCAUACAUCAGCAUGUAACCCGGAAGCUUUCCUUCCUUGCAGUUCCCUUUGGGUUGCUUUUCCCAGUAAGAGGUCCUACCCCCUUUUUGACCAGAGGCUCUUGUGGUAAAGGGGAGCGCUGUGGGACUUCCAAGCUGGAGUGGAGGGAGAAGCGGGUAGUGAGGCAAUGCUGUGCUAUUGGAAGUUGUGCUGUUGUAAACCAUGGGAACAGCUGACCUGAGGAAUCUGCGAGAAACAAUCCUCUAUCGUCAGACACUGAAUAAUCUAAUGACUUAUUUCAGUUUCUUAAAAAUUGCCUUUUCAUCAGUUGAAAGUUGCAAAUUGCUGGUUUAAUGAGUCCCAAGCAGAGAAAAUAGAAGUAAAAAUAUAUGCAUCUUAUCUAAUAAAUGCUGAGCACUAGACAGGCAUGACUAAAGCAAACUAACCUGCAGAUUUUAAAUCUCUUAGGAUCUGUUGCAGACAGCUUGGUUCAAAACAGCCAACGAAAGAACAGAGCUGCAGCAGGUCUGCCUCGGCACCACUUGCUGCAGCUCCUGGAGGAGCAGCGUUGCAUUUUCUGUUUGGUAAACUGCUGACAGUGCUAACAGUACCAUCUUUGAAACAGCAAACUGAGCAUGUGCCAUCCCUUUGAAGGACACAUGCUGAAAUGCAGGAUGAGUAGUUCCAGAUAAGCCAGCACAGUAUGUCAGUACCUUCAGCGUGUUGCACAAACUUGCUGAUAGGGGACAAAACAAAAACCACAGAAACAAAAGCAGCUCAACAUAUUGUUCUGGUGAAAUGAGAACUCUCUCCCCAGUGUCUGUAUGCUUUGUUUAAUGGAUCAUGGGAGCCUCAGGAUUCACCAGUGUCUCACGAAGCUGCACCAGGCGAUGGCAGAUGGCAGCAGGAGCACGCGGUGCAAGAAUGCGCCCUUCUCUUAAAUGCAGCAUGAGGGUGGAGGCCCUGGGCUUCUUUCCACGCAUGACUCAAAUGAAUCUUCUGCCUAAUGAGUAGCAUUUUGAAGUCAGCUUAAAAAUCCUAUAGUGAUCCUAUCUAACCAGCUUCUCCUACGUAAAGAUUAAUUUUUUAUAAUGGUGGUUUUCUUUCCAGUUGCCCAGGGCAGUUAUUUGCUAGGGCAGCCUCCUAUCAGCUGAGAUAACAAGGGCAAAGACUGACAGUCCAGCAGAGUCUGGGUUGUGCUCAUUUCUGGGGGAGCAGCGGAUACUAUUAAUGGUGUUCAGGCCUAAAUGGAACCAAGUGUCUCAUUGGGAAAAUAUGUUGGGGAGAAAGGGCUGUGCUAGGGGGCUGCAUACCCAGAUUGUGCUCCUGUUGGAUGACUGGCUGAUAAAACCAGCACUCCUAUAUAACCUUGCAAAAGUCAUUAAUGAAGCUUCAGUGCCUCACAGUGAUGGUGGUGCUCCCAGCUGAUGGAGACAUGCUGGAGCAAGCUGCAGUAACAGUGUCUGACUGGCAGUCUUCCCUGCUGGGUGCUGCUGUCAGGAAGGCACAGUAGAGACUACGUAGGCAUAUUGAAAUAGGGUAUGAGAUCAAAUCAUCUAAAAGAUCUGCAAGGACCCUUGUUGUCUUCUUCCUUGCAGUUUGCAAAUUGCUGCUGUAUACUGAUUUUAUCUGAUUUCAAAUGUAGCUUAAGAGACUGUUUGGUAGGCAAGAGCAUCUCUAAACUAGUGGUGAGCCUUUGGGGGCUGUGUGGCAGGUGACACAGGCUGGAGGUUUCCAUAAGUAUAGGAUCCAGUUGGCAGCAUAGGCUGGUGCCCUUGGAGGUGGUAUUGCUGCAAUGGGCGAUCUGUGUCCUCAGCUGAGCACUGGCACAGAACUAGCUGUGGAUGGCAGAGCCUCGAUUUCUUCUUCCAAGUAGCAAUGGGCUGCAAAAAUUAACAUGAGUAAAAUCCAUCUCCAUCCUAGGAACAUGUAAACAUCUGGACGAGUAGUUAUGAAGAUUAAUGUUAUGCACAGGGUAAGAAUUCCCACUGACAUUUGCUCAGUUUGCCCAAGCAAGUUAGUGGAAACCUCCUGUGAAUAUGAACCGUACUCUGCAGUGCUGCGCAGGCAUUUAACAGCUUGGAUGCCAGUCUCCUUACAGGCACAUCAGUAAGUCUUAGUCUUUAAUUGCCUUAAAAUAUAAUAUUGGAAGAAAAAAAAAGUCAUAGAGGUAUGUGUAACUUUUAAGACUAAGUGGAAAAGAAGUAAACAACAAUAAAGUUAUCCCCAUCUUUGGACUUAAAAUCAGUCCUGACUGAGGCAGUUCUUCAAGGAGAGUGGGUGACAGCUGUCUGUCAGGUCUGAGCAACACGUCUUCUGCACUGAUGAUCAAUGCCUGAAAUAACGCUGAGGUGCAGCAGUAGCUGUGUAUCAUUCAUAGGAGGGUGGCAGCUGCUCCAAGUACAGCACUGAGCGUGAAUGCCUGCUGUCUCGUGGUCAGUGGUUACUGCUGUGCCUGAAGCCUGGCUGUGCCUGUGGUCAGAUGCUCUGACAUCAAAGGUACUGUUGGCUCCUUUGGGCUGGUGAACUUUAUUGAAAGCAUGCCAUGUUUGGAGUCCCAUGAGCAGGUAACGUGCAUCCAUCUGAGCGUGCAGGUUUGAACGUGUCUGCCAUAAGGUAUUUGAAUCUGGAGGCAAUGUGAUUCUUGCUAUGCAAUAAAAUCAAGAAUACACAGUCUUUUAGUGUCUAAACCCCUCCCAGUCCUCCCCUAUUCUGAACGUACUGUUAUCAUUACACCGAUACUUGCUGUGUAAUACACUUUAAAUGAGUGUGAAUGUGCUAUGGACUAAUGUGGUUAUCUCCAUAUGGCAGGAAGUUGCUUGGUCGGAGGUCAUCUCCAUACUGGUGUAAUUCCAGGCAUGUUGCUGGUUUUAAUAAUAUAAUGACGAUAAUUGAUGUUCUAAAACUGGUAAGGUCAGUGUUCACUGGCUGCUACAUUUACUUGGCAGCCAGCUCAGCAGUAUUAACACGAAAUGAGGCACAAAUCCCACGUCCUGCUCCCAGGCCUGAUAGCAGAAUGGGCGCUCCAAUGAAUCGCAGUGCUGUUUACUCCUUUGGCACUCCUUUCUUGCUGACCUCUGCCCAGGUGUGCCAUGCAGCAGGGUAAGACGGGGUGAAGCCAGGGCCAACCUGAAAAGCCCUCACGUGGCAGUUUUGCCAUGACGAGUUAAUCACAGCAUUUGCUGGUAUUAUUCCAGACUUUUUUUUCCCCCUUUGGAUGUGUGCAGGUUCACAGAGUAAAGGCAGGACGACUGUUGAAUGUGUAUUAAUGGCUAUAAGAAAUAUAGGUCCCAGUUUGCCAGUUGUUCUGCCAGGUUCUCAGACAGGAAUGUUUAGGGAGCUUUUUCUCGGCAUGGUGCAAAGCCUGCAGCUAAGAAAAGAGCCCAGGGAAGAUAAUCUGCCUUUUUCCAUGUUCAGCAUUUCCCACCCGGUGUGAACCUAAAUCAUGUGGAUUUCACUACUGGCUCUGCAAUGUUACGGGGAGAUAAGGCGGUAACAACUCAUUUGUAUCCCCAGAUGAGAUAAACCAGAAGCACAUCUCCCCGUUUGUGAGUGGCUUCCUAUCAGAGGUGAGAAUAACUGCGCGGCACUAAGCUGGCAGUCAGCAGUGAUUAAUAAUAGUAAAUCUUUUGCAUAAAUAGAAAGGUGUCAUUGUGUGUAUUUCACUUACAGUGUUUCUAAUGUGUGUCUGUAAUUAAAUUACAUCUGGUUUUCUGUCCAAGAAAUUAAUGUGCACUUACAUAAUGUGUUGGUGCUCUUAUGUUCAGGAGGGGGAAAUGAGUGCUCUGCCUUUUCAAGUGGAGAUUGCUUCAUCCAUAGCUUUUUGGGGGAGUGGAAAUAGAUUUAUUCUAUCUUUGCACGUUCGUCUGAUUCGGUGCUGAAAUCACUGGAGCAAAUUCAGCAGCCCCGGAUGCCUUCAGUUCAGGAUCCCGUUCUGAAUGAUGAUGGAAGAGAAGAAGCGUGUUACUUUGUGCUAAUGGGUUUGCCUUUUUGAAGUAUCCCACUAGGAAUUCUGCAUCUUGGCUCAGUCGUGGCUUGGAGAAUAACCGAGUGUUUCAGGAUCUGCCAGAACAGCAGUGCCCUGGAAAUAUCUGACUGCACAAAAAUCAAAAGGAAAUUGGAGAUUGGCUUUGUUAAGGACACCUCCUGUUCUAUGGCACUGUCACUCAAUCGCUGUGUGGGAGUGCAUACAUUGUCUACAGGUGGUAGUGAGGAGGAGUCAAAGCUUCAGAGAGAGCUGCAGGAACAGCUGGACCUCAUAAGAGCUGCAAAAGAAGAUUCCCCAGCUAAAACAUGUCCAUGGAGAGCCAUAUGUGCAUAGCUGUUAGGAUUUUGGAAUCAGUGUGGUGGAAUGACAGGGAGAUGAUGGGUAAAUAUUAAUUGAGAGAGCAACCCCUGCCAAGAAAUUCUUUGCGAUCGUGUUACCUUCUCUUCAUGCAAAAUAUUUACCAAGUCAAAUACUGCCAUUUAAUUUACCAUAACUUGGUAGUCAUUACACAGGGACUUGAAGAGAAGGCCCAGCGGCCUGGCAGCCUCCUGGUGUGCCUUUGGGCUGUCCCAGAGGCAGUGAGACUGUCAGCAUGGCAGCGUGUGCUGGGAAGCUGCUUUCCAUUCUAUAUGCAGUAUCACAGGGCUGUGCUGAGCCAUGUGCCAAGCUGGCACCUCGUCCUGGCCACCUUUGGGCCAGGGGAUGGAAGGGUAAGAUGAGCUGAGCUGAUAGGUCUCUGUCAUCUGUCUGAAGGGCUUGCAGAAAUCUAGUGAAUGGGGCACCGUGUUUGGGUUUUCUUUCCAGAACUGGCAAUGCACAGGUGUAGGGUUGGUAGCAUGGAGAAGGCCAGACGAGGAAUAGAAAAAAGAGGGAAAGUUCAUUUUUGCAAUUAUUUCUGCACUUCUGUUCCUAAGACCUCUUGUUUUGUUUGUUUGUUUGUUUGUUUUGUUUUGUUUUGUUUUUAUGUUUCAUUUGCUUGGAGUCUGAGCUGGGAUAUCACAGGGAUGCUUCUCUCACUUCUGAUUCAGUAGAGUUGUAUUUCAGGCACUGAUUUGCAUUGACAGGCAGAAAAUACUUCUGUUUAAUUAGAAUAAAUCAUUUUAAAGUUGAAGAUGAAGAUGACCCUGGAAGAGUGCCACUCACAUCUUUAGUUGAUGCCUCAUGCCCACAAUUGAUGUGGGAACCCUAUUCCCAUGCCGACGGCACAGGCCAUGUGUGCACUGAGUAAUCACAAAUUUACACAUCAGCAUUACUCAACCUCCAGGCAGCGUGCGGUCAGUUUUCAUUUGCACUCUUAAAAUUGUUUCCAUUUAACACCCUUAAGCAGCUCUACGAAUUACAGUGAAAUAUAAAAUGACCCUCACAUUUGCUCUCCUGCUUAUUCAACACGACCGUUCCCCGCUCGGCGUGGCAGCGUGCUUUUCAUGUGGCUGCCCAUAUGCCCUGCACAUGACUGUGAUCUGGCUCCCAAAAGGGUAUGUUGUGAUCUGCUCGCAUGUGCCAAUUCACAUAUCUAAACGUUUUCAUAAGGGGAACCCCUUUGUGUUAGUCAUCUGGUUGUCAAACAAGACCUGGCUGUGAUCCUGGACCUGGCACUAGAUGAAAUAUGUGCACUUUAAACAUUUCAUACUGAAACUGAUGGGAAUGGGCAAUUCCUCAGUACAUUUUCUCAAGGUUUUUAAACAAUAAAUGUCAACCUAAGGGCAAAGCGAGACAGAUUUCAGAUUAAAGAGACGGGCUUUGCUUAACAUCUAUAAAUCCCUUAGUCCCAACCUCCUUCAUGGUUUUUCAAACAAGGAACAAGGAAAGGCUAUGUCAAGCGCGGUGGACACUUUUGUCAACACAACUUCUGCCUUUGGUAGCAUGAUAGAAAGAUUUCAAAAAUAGAUUUUUCUGAUGGAUUCAUGACUUGGCAUCCCGCAGAGAAUCUAGUAUUCUUCCAAGCAAAGCUAAAGGUUUGUGUUAGAAGGCUAGCAAAGCCAGUCAAAGAGCCUUUCAUCCUCAAGAUUACUAAAAUAUUCCUUUGUUUAUUUUUCUCCUUCAAUUACUUUUCCUGUCUUGGUUUAAUCUGUAGUGCUGAAGCUUGUCAGCACCUAUAGCCUUUUGUUUAGGAUAGAUGCCUUGGGAGCAUGAAUAAAAACAAUUUUCAUGUAGUGUCUCCUUGUCACAGCUGCUGCCUGAAGCCCAUCGACUUCUCUUUCCAAAGACCCGAUUAUGCACACACAAACAGAACAGAGCCUGGAGCCAGCAGUUUGAUAUUGCUUAAUGCCAGCGAUGAGCCCUCGUUAACCCGGUGCUCCAUCAUUUGCAAUAGAAGCAGCAAAUUUGUUUUCUCUCCCAGUUUCCAAAGAAAAAAAUGUGUCAGAAUGCUUGUCUUGACUGUAACUUAGUGAAAUGUUUAAAUAUUUUAGAAUGUAAAUUCUAGAAUUUGCAGCUGCGGGGAGAAGGAAAAUGAAACUUGUAUUUGGAAAAUUAAUUCUCAAACAAAAAUUCCCUGUAUAUGUUUUCUUUUUCCAGGAAAGUGAUUUCUUGAAACUUCAGCAUAUGCUUUUCAUUUGUGUGAGCUGGCACUGCCACGAGCCAGAGGAGGCUUGCAGCAAGCGGGGCCAUGCGGGACUGGCACCUGCUCGGCUGUGCUCGGGUGACUUCUGGACCUUCUGGUACUGUGAGUGAGCCGCACUUGAUGGAAAGAUGCUGAGCAUUUUUUCUUGACCCCAUGUCAUUGUGGAGUGGUUGCAGCUUGCUGUCACGGGCAGUCUUGUCUUGCAGAGAGCAGCAUAUCCCUGCAGAAAGAGAAAUGCUGUGGUAGCUCUAGAUGCAAGAGAAGCUUCAAGGAAAGUUUGCAUUUAAUUAUUGUUAGAAAUGUGCAGCAAAACAGAUUUCAUUGUUUUUAGCUCUUACAAAGCCAUAUGCCUAUGUCUCUGGGUUCCAAAACCACAUAACGAACAAAACAAAACAAACAAACAAAAGCAAGACCACAAGCAAGACCACAUAGCAGUAAUUAAAUGUCUCUGUUCCAGAAUAGGGUGCGUACUGUGAUCAAGACUGGCAGUAGCAGGGAAGCCAGGGUGCAUAGCUGAAGGAGGAGAGCAGACAGGAGCAAUGGGCAGGGUUUGCAGGGAAUGAGGAGCGUGGGUCUGUGUGCACCCUGGGAAGGGGCUCGUAACCAAGCACACAGUACUGGAACCUGCUGUGUGGUUGUUUGCAGCUGGAAAAAUGCAAUGGAGACAUGAUUCCUCAUGUAAUUCUUAGGUUGAAUCAGUUGGACCUAUUCUUUGCUUACUCAUUCAAAACUAACAUUUUAUUCUGUCCCAGCGAGCUGAAGCAGACUGGCUUACUUCUCAUAGGGUGUCCAUCCAGCUGCCUUGAAGACAGCAGAAGGAACUAGAGAUUGUGGUCACAGUUCAGUGACUGAGUGAAGGGAUGAAGGUCAUUCCUCUCACUGAGACAGUCUCUUCAUACUCCCUGUCACCGCUUCUCUGCUCAGUGUUGUUCCUGCUAAUCGGGAUGCUUUGAAAUAGAGAGAGAGGAUAGUGGGAGGUGCAAGAAGAAAGACUGAAUUGAAGGCAGAAGAGAGCACAGUGGGGAUACAGACAGAAAAACAGGCUACGUGCUGAGCACAUUUAAAGGAGCACAGCUGGAACAGUGCUGGAGAGUAACAAAACUAUCUUUCCAUGUGUGUUUGCCUGUUCCCGUGUUAUUUUUCCCCAGUACUGCAUACAGCAUGGUUUCCCCACAAGGUUAAAGAUCACAAUAAUGUUUUAUGUAGGUAGCAGAAUACCCUGCGUGGAGGAAGUGGUACAUGAUUUUACUUAGAGAACAGAGAUUUCAUGGUUUUUAACACAUGCAAGGAAAUUUGUCUACUGGCAUCUGUUGCGGAGAUGGUAUCCCUUUGACACAAGUCAGGAAGCAAAAGCAUCUGUGGCUGUAAGGACAGUGCUUGCAGAAAACACUUGUGCAGAUAUCUUUAUUCAGGUCUGGUUCCCAUGUAGAAAGAGGCAUGUCCUCAGGAUGGCUGCUGAAUGCCAUCAGCACUGGGAGAGAAAAGAACAGAUGUAUGGCUGUAAACCGAGAUGUGAAAAAGCAGGAAUCUGAAGUUAGCUUGAAAGUUAUUUGGGCUGGGGUAUUGGUGGGAAGUGUCAGUGGGCAGCAGCUCAGAACCUGCAGUAACUGCUUGGCUGCCUGGCUCUUUCUUCAGCAAUCUCACUUGAGUGUUUUCAUGUGCAAGCAGAGGACACUGAUCUGCCCUGUCUUCCACACAUGUGCAUUCAUUCAGUGCAGUUACCUGUGUUGCUGUAGUAUACCUGCCCCUUUGGACUUGAGCACAAAUGUAUCAGGUAAAUGCAGGUGGAUGCAGCCACCGGUAAAGAAGUUGGUUUUUUUUUUCAUUGUGAUUGAUGCGUGGAUAGCAACCCUAUCCCAGUCUUACUAUUGGAUCAUCAGUCAAGACUUGAGGACUGCUGAAAGUAUGUCCUCAUCCCUAAGGUGUUGCAGUUCAGUGCUGGACCCGUCCAAGCUGAGACAAACUGAUUUUUGCAUUCAACAAAGCAAUGAUAGGACAAGAGGGCAUGGCCUCAAGUUGUGCCAGGGGAGAUUCAGGCUGGAUAUUAGGAAGAAUUUAUUUCCAGAAAGAGCAAUGAGGCAUUGGCACAGGCUGCCCAGGGAGGUGGUGAAGUCAUCAUCCCUGAAGGUGUUUAAAGAAAAGGCAGAUGUAGCACUUAGGGACAUGGUUUAGUGGGCAGUAUUGAUGGUAGGUGGAUGGUUGGACUAGAUGAUCUUAGAGGUCUUUUCCAACCCUAAUGAACCUGUGAUUCUGUGAAUGCAUGUGGAGUAUAUGACUGGCAGAAAGGACGGAUGUUGGGACGCGAAGCCUGAGUUCAGGUCUGAUACCAAAUGACUCCUGCAAAUUGGGCAGAGUAGGCUUCUGCUCUCUCCAUGCUUAAUUUCCUAACACUGUUUGGAGCUAGUUGGGAGCAGGAGAUAGUGAGCUGUCCAGAAAAACAACCAUUCCAGGUGCCGUGAUGAGUGUGGAGUAUACAGGCAUUGCACAGAAAGCAGUGACAGCAUGGUCUGCAUUAUCUGGUGAGGUGGUACAUCAUCUGCAUACCUGUGUGAUUCUAUAUGUGUGUAUCAGCAGCCUAUUGUUACAACGUGCUUAUGUGGCAAUUCGUUUGUGGAGUGUACCUUGUGCUGGUGUUCCACAGUAUUAAUGUUCUCAAGCAUGGGAAGACAUCUGUCAAGCAAGCACUAGUAAAUACCAUGCAGCUGUACUUUGUCAGGGUUCCAUUUUGCAUUUCCCUCUUUUCUCUACCUCAACACUCCUUCAGAUCACACUGACAUCAGUUGUGAUUAUGGCAAAAGAAGAUAACUCCUGUUAACCCUGUCAGAUGCUUGCAUAAGAUGAAGGCAUUUUCUUAAUGCACUCAUAAUCUAUAACCAGUUGUUUUUAAAGCCAUUUGAGAACCGUACAGAGAAGGCAUUUUGCAUUUGGUCAGUCAGAAGUUGGUAACUGUUUUAGAAGCCUGCUGGAAGGAAGACAUCAAGAAAAGCUUUUGCAAAGCUGUGUUUUCACCUCACAGUGCUUUGCAGAGAUGCAUUCUUGGGUUCGGUUCAUAUGGGUUCAUUUCUCUGACUUUCACUUUGAAUUUUGGAAUCAAAGGCAUUUUAAAAUUUUAGAUCAAACUUAUUAGAAAACACUGUAUCUCACCUGGUUUCAGCUCUUUAAGUAGUGAAAAGCAGUGCCUCCCCUGCUGUGAUCCUGAUACAAAUCUGUAAGUCAUCACGCCAGCGCGUUUGAAGCUGGGCCUAGCACUUCUGUCCAGAGUACAGCGUUGCUCAGAAAGUUCAUGGCUUCACCUUUGAACAGGGUGUUGCAGCGAAACAGGCAGCAGGCCGGAUUUCUGGGUAGAUGGCAAAGACAGCACCCAGCUUUCAUUUUGGGGAUUUUCCUAGCAUAAAGCUGCCCGAGCCAGAAGGCAGUUUGCGGCCACAGAUCCCUGAUUUUGCUCCUUUGAAUCACAGCUGGUGUCCUUUUGGGUGCAUCAGACGUGUUUGCUUCUGUCCUGGAGGCCGACAUUCAGCCAUCAUGGCCGUGGCUAAGGUCUCCAUCCUUGCCAUAUAGACUGGAGUCUGCAGCAGUAGGGCUUAGAACUUGAUACAAGCCUGAAGGGAGAGUUAUGAGCACAGUGACUGACAGCUCACGACUGUCUGAUAUGUCAGACCUCUGAGACCAGGUCUGGGAGGGAGGGUGAAUACAGUACCUGGGGAGCAGUCCCUUCCCUUCCUCCUGCUGGGGGGCAGUGGGGCUGGGCCUGUCCCUGCUGCCCACCCUGCCCUCCAGAGCACAGCUGCCCCUGCGGUUUCCGGGAAUCCCCGCCUGUAUGUGGUUUCUUAACCAGUCCUGCAAAAAUGUAUUUUUUAUUGAAUGUUAUUCUAGCCAUAAAACUUUUAAGCUGUUCAAAUACUUUCCUUUGUGCAGUAGACAUCUGAGACUAUUAGGCAUUAACAAGUAAAUGUACUUUUUUUUUUUCAACUGCUUCAAUCUGCUAAGGAGUUUUCUUUGGACUGAUUCUCCUCUAGUGUUGUACCAGAGGAAACAUUACUGUGAUCUGAUAUCAUAUCUCCUCACUAUCUGUCUCCUCAGAUUGCAGAUGUGGAUGUGUUUUAUGUUGAAUUACAAAGGGACUUUAUUUUGUGGUAACCAGUUAGGUCAAACAGCUCACCCAUGGUCCAGAAGUGCUUAAAGCCCAGAGGUACCGAUGUGAUUCACGGCAGUCCCUCUGUAGAGCCCAUAGAGUGUGGGGUGAGAGCGUGGGCUUCAGUAAAUCUCAGCUGGAAGAUUUUAGGAGGUGAAUUUCACUAUUUCUUGAGCUAUUUAAUAAUGACUAUAAUCCAUUUUUUAACACCUGUCACAGGAGCUUCAUGUCACUGGAGCUGUUGACUUUAAUGUACUUCAUUACUUGUAUAACGGCAUCAUCUGUUGUUGGCAUCCAAUUAAGUGACAAACAGUGAGAAGGAUCCUGCCCCAAACUGUAUGAGACAGGAAGCAAGCAGCAUUCUUGUAGUUGUGCAAACAGUUAAAGCAGUGCCAAAAUUUGCUUAACAUAUUCCGGAUCUUAUUGAAAUGCUUGGCCUAGUAUGGUUAACUAUACACCUGAAUUGGGCUGUAGACGCUUAUUUCAUUGGCCUGAUAUUCCUGUUGGUAUUCCUGUUGAGGGGACUCUUUUCUUGGGGUUUCAGGAAAGCUCCUUGCUGGGGUUGCUGGGAUCAGUUCUGCCCCGACCACCCACAGCCCAGGCAGCAUCGCUCUCAAGUAAGGCUCAUUCCAUAGCAGGUGCCAGAGGCUUGCCCAGGGCAGGCUGCUCUCAGCCUGUGGAAGAAAGCUGUGUAACACCUCUUAAUCUGUACGUAAUGGUUUGGAUAAGGAAACUGGUAAUCUGAAAACAUUUAUCUGGUGAUGCUUUUGAUUCGUAUGCCUGAGUGAAAUAUUGUGAACUGCUCCCAGUCCUGUAAAUGCAAGGCAAUUAGACUAUGAGGUGAAGUAUAAAGAGGAAUUUGAAGAGCACCAUGCCAGUGAUAAAACCCGUAAAACCCUUGCACAUCCAUCACCUGUGUUGUGGAUGCAGUUCUAAUCCCUGUAUUUUAAGAAGGGCAUUGGGGAGUUAAGAGGCAUUACAGUAAAGAUGAUCGUGGGGCUGAGGCAGCUGUUUUGGGGGGAGAUGAGGGGUGGUUGUUGGGCAAGGCAGACCCAAUAGGGCACUUGUGAUUUCAGCCUUCAGCAACAUAGGUAAAGUAGCUCUCUUCUCUGUUGGACAGAAUGACUGGAGGAGAAUUCUUGGGCCUUUUAUUCAUUAUUUACAUGGCUUUUGUGUCUGCUGGCAUAGUGUAGCGUAACCCAGAAUGCGUAAAAUACAGUGAAGUUGAAAUAUGUGUGAAUUUAAUGCCUGAGAAACAUAAAUCAUGUCAUGCAGGUGAGAUGCAUUGACUGAAUCAAAUGCACUGAACUUCAGAGCCAGUCCUUCUUUGGAAGCAUGUUAAGAACUGUCCACCCCACUCUUCUCAGGGCAUUGUUGUGUGCUCUACCAAAUGAGAUUCUCAAUUCUUCUUGGAAAAAAAAAAGAUUUUUGUUUCCUAUUCUGUCUUCGAGUCCAUCUUUGCAAAGAAGCAACAAGUCUCUGAGAGGGGGAGAUGCUGGUGAGGCUUCAUCUAAAUCAGGCAGGUUUAUAAGACCAGGAGGGAAAACACAUUUUCAGACAUGGUCAAACAGAGGAGCUGGAUGAUUUCGUCUUUGUCCAUUCAUAACAAUGACGGAACAGAAACUAAAAGUUGAGCUUAAAAGAGCAAAAGCUUUGGAAAGAAAACUUGCUCAUGGCUUCAGAGCUGGCUUGGAGUAUGUAGGCAGGAAGCCUGGAGCUUUGUAUGGGAGUUUGGUUUAACCCUAUGAAAAACAUCAUGGAAGAGAGCUGUGGGAACUUCAGCAGUUUUCUGCAGAGUUGAACUAGGAAAGCCAGGAUAGGUUUAAGCAUCAAGGCAGGUUUUUUUUUUCCAGGAAAGCAGAGUUCUAAAAUAACACCUCAGAGGUGUUUGUAGCAUUGGAUUUUUCAUUCUUAACUUCUUAUUCAAGAAAAACUUUGAUUGUUAUGUGUAGGAAAUUCAGUGUUUGUAGCUUAUUACUUGUUUUGCAUGUGAACAAUUUCAGUCAACACCUAAAAAUUUGUUUAUGACAGUUUUGCCACCUGUCCAGUGGGAACUGCUUGACUUUUUAACCAGCCAUUGACUUGCAGAACUGCUUUCAUAAGAUGCAGAAAGGAUUGGAAGGUGUUUUCCUACAGACAGAUUACAGCAACAUCUUUAAUUUCAAGCCUGUUAGCAGCUGAUAGCCUGUUAUCCCAUAGCCUUUACACAGACCUUGACUCUCAUAACCCUCACAAUUAUUCUUCAUCCCACAAAUGUUAAUAUUUACUAUAUAGUCAAUCUCCAAACCACAGGGAGUCAUUUGCAUGCGUGGUAUCACUUGCACUUCAACUAAAUAAAACCAUUAACCUUUCACUGAUACACUUAGGUCAUAGAAGUCACACUUGUAUGGGUUGUGUAGUUUGGGUUAACGCUGUAACAUUCCCUUCUCACCCUUACAGUACAGCACCUCCUGAGCAUGGCAGCCCUGACACUGAUGCUGAACUUGUGUGCCCUGUCCCAGGCGGGGACUGGCACUGGAGCAGGUCGCACUGAGCCAUAAUUGUAAAUUCUCUGGGGCUGGAGUCACCAGCCAGUAAUCCUCUAUGCACAGGCUCCCCCUUAUGGAAAUGAAAGAUACUAAACAAUGCUUUUUUCCUCUUGUCUCAGACAAAACUAAUAGUUUAUUACUGUGAAGACACUUCUCAAGCCUGCAGUAGUACUUUUCAACUUAAAGUUUUAAGUUCGGGUGAUGAUGGAAUGGAUGUAGGCUCACCGUGGCAAACAUGAAUGAUGAUGACACAUGUAUGUGUUUAUACUCAAAGUGAUAAGAGCUCCUUUGGAGGCUGGAAUUUCUUGUGAUUUCCUGAUGGUGAAGAAGGGAACAGGAGCUCUUCAGAUGUUAAGAGAUGCUGCAGAGUAAAUCCUAGCUGUAGCCUCCUCUGUCUUCAGAGGAGCAAAAGAAAGUCAGUGGGAUCAAAUAAUUUAGUUCUGGAAUAGUUAUAUUUUGAUGCUCUACAGUGGAUAUUUUGGAUUGGAUCCUGAUGGAUCAGAACCAUUGGAAGAGUUAGAAAUAGACACCGUGGAUUUUUCCCUUAGCCAAUUCUAGUAAAAAGUUUCAAGUUGUUCCAGUGAGACACACCAUGUGUAGAUUUAGAUAUGCUCUUGCCUUCUUACUUUUAUUUUGCGUGAAAGAUGGUUCCCAGCUUCAUGAAAGCUAUGUGAGAGCAGUUACAGUUCUGUGCUCAGCCUAUUCUGACACUCUAGCACAUGUGCAUGACAACAGUAGGCUAGACAGAGCUUUGGAUUUGCUCAGUGGGGCAGUUCUUGUGACUGCAGGAUAUCUCCUAGUGCCAAAGUACCAUAGUUGGAGCUGAUGCUGAUCAGCAUCAUCUCACUGAUGUCCUGUGUUCUGGUGAGAGGCUCUGAUAGCUUGUGUGAGUUGGGGUGACAGAGCAGUUCUUUCUUUUGCGAGACCAACUUUCUGUUGGCGUAAGCCAUAUAAAUGGGUGUUGUUCAGACAACACCUGAAGGGUCUGCCUGGCUCCCUAACAUCAAAAUCACAUGGGGAGAUUGCUUAAACAUUUAAAGUACUGUUGAAGGUACAUUAUUAGUAACAACAAAUAGUAUUGUUAGUUUUUAUAGUGCUAGUAUUAAUAGUAUCAAACACAUUUAGAAUAUAUUGAAGUUGCUGGUCUGGGCCCUCACCUCACAGAUGAAGUCAUUCCUGUACCAGAGAGAACAGGAGGCACACGUGUCCCAGGGCAGGAUCUGAACUGGAGAGGCACAUACUGGUUUUGCUUUUUUUUCCCCCCCCAUUUUUAGAUUUUAUUAGUAUUAUUGAUUUGUAUUGUUCUUCUAACUUGUUUAUUACCCAGUUUUGAAACCAAGAUCCUAGUGGAGCUACUGGAGUGGACUUUCAUGCUGAACUUGAGUCCUUCUUCCCAUCCAAACUAAAGUAUUCUGCAAGGCAUGGCUCACACAGUGCUUGCAGCCUUUCUGCUUUGCCCGUGUGCUGAAUGAGGUUCAGGCCUUUGUGGGCUCAAUGUGAUGCCCUCCUGUGUUCCUGGUCUCAUUUCAAUGCUGCUAGGGAAAUUGAUUUUAAUUACACAUGCUGCUGAUCACCUAAUCUCAUAAGGGGACAUGGCUGAGAAAUAAAGAACCCAGAAAAAGGAAACUAAUUUAUGCACUCUGGGGACAGGAGGAGUGAUUUGAGUGGUGCAUGGGAAGAGGAGUGCUGGAGAGCAAAAAGAAGCUGAGAUGAUGGAUGGUGUGAUUAAAAACUCUGAUGUUUCUCAGUACAUUCUCCCUUCAUUUGCUUAAAGCAAACACCAUUUCAGUUUUCUCUGGCGGCAUCUUUGGGUUUUAUUUUAUGCAGUCAUUUUUAAUGUACUUUGCUAUCUGGCCUUGCAGUUGUAGGCUGUGUUCUGCAAACCCAACUGAACCAAACUGACAGUGGAGGGCCCAUUGCCUGAGCAGCACAGUUCCAGUUUUGUGUUUGAGAUCAGUUCUCAAGCACAGGGAUUGCACUGCAAAGGCACUCGGGGGGACCGUGAUGCCACCCAGACAAGUCUCAGUGUGCCCAGUUUCUCCGUCCCUCAGCGGUCCUCUCUGCCCAGCACCGAGCAAAGGCCGUGCCCGCAGCCUGCCAGGCUGCCGUAUGCCCGAGUCCC